This 415-nucleotide ribosomal RNA is filed under the name uncultured Acetivibrio sp. Its description in RNAcentral is "bacterial SSU rRNA". It matches the Rfam family "Bacterial small subunit ribosomal RNA", at positions 355 to 787 of the family's 1533-position model. The record is from RNAcentral. Lineage: Bacteria; Bacillati; Bacillota; Clostridia; Acetivibrionales; Acetivibrionaceae.
UCGGGAAUAUUGCGCAAUGGAGGAAACUCUGACGCAGUGACGCCGCGUGCAGGAAGAAGGUUUUCGGAUUGUAAACUGCUUUAGACAGGGAAGAAAAAGACAGUACCUGUAGAAUAAGCUCCGGCUAACUACGUGCCAGCAGCCGCGGUAAUACGUAGGGAGCGAGCGUUAUCCGGAUUUAUUGGGUGUAAAGGGUGCGUAGACGGGACAACAAGUUAGUUGUGAAAUCCCACGGCUUAACUGUGGAACUGCAACUAAAACUAUUGUUCUUGAGUGUCGGAGAGGAAAGUGGAAUUCCUAGUGUAGCGGUGAAAUGCGUAGAUAUUAGGAGGAACACCGGUGGCGAAGGCGACUUUCUGGACGAUAACUGACGUUGAGGCACGAAAGUGUGGGGAGCAAACAGGAUUAGAUACGU